AUACGUAGGUGGCAAGCGUUAUCCGGAAUUAUUGGGCGUAAAGCGCGCGUAGGCGGUUUCUUAAGUCUGAUGUGAAAGCCCACGGCUCAACCGUGGAGGGUCAUUGGAAACUGGGAAACUUGAGUGCAGAAGAGGAAAGUGGAAUUCCAUGUGUAGCGGUGAAAUGCGCAGAGAUAUGGAGGAACACCAGUGGCGAAGGCGACUUUCUGGUCUGUAACUGACGCUGAUGUGCGAAAGCGUGGGGAUC
Molecule: ribosomal RNA, 247 nt
Filed under: uncultured bacterium
Lineage: Bacteria
Description: partial 16S ribosomal RNA
Rfam family: Bacterial small subunit ribosomal RNA
Source: RNAcentral